Molecule: ribosomal RNA, 382 nt
Filed under: uncultured eukaryote
Lineage: Eukaryota
Description: partial 18S ribosomal RNA
Rfam family: Eukaryotic small subunit ribosomal RNA
Source: RNAcentral
UGUAAGCGUAUACCAAAGUUGUUACAGUUAAAACGCUCGUAGUCGGAAUUUGGCAGUUCCGGAUGUGUGCACGUCGUGUGCGCACUUCGCGGGGAUUGCUUUUGUGGUCUUGCGUAGGAUGAGGCACUUUUAUUAGUGAACGUCCUCACGCAACCACUUUUUACUGUGAGAAAAUUAGAGUGCUCAAAGCAGGCAUUUGCCGUGAAUGUAUUAGCAUGGAAUAAUAGAAUAGGACUUGGUUCUAUUUUGUUGGUUUGUUGGGACUGAGUAAUGAUUAAGAGGGACAGUUGGGGGCAUUUGUAUUUCGGUGCUAGAGGUGAAAUUCUUAGAUUACCGAAAGACAAACUGCUGCGAAAGCGUCUGCCAAGGAUGUUUUCAUUGA